Molecule: ribosomal RNA, 88 nt
Filed under: Crepidostomum illinoiense
Lineage: Eukaryota; Metazoa; Platyhelminthes; Trematoda; Plagiorchiida; Allocreadiidae
Description: partial 5.8S ribosomal RNA
Rfam family: 5.8S ribosomal RNA
About the family: 5.8S ribosomal RNA (5.8S rRNA) is a component of the large subunit of the eukaryotic ribosome. It is transcribed by RNA polymerase I as part of the 45S precursor that also contains 18S and 28S rRNA. Functionally, it is thought that 5.8S rRNA may be involved in ribosome translocation.
Source: RNAcentral
GAACUGCAUACUGCUUUGAACAUCGACAUCUUGAACGCAUAUUGCGGCCACGGGUUAGCCCGUGGCCACGCCUGUCCGAGGGUCGGCU